AUUGAACGCUGGCGGCAUGCCUUACACAUGCAAGUCGAACGGUAACGCGGGGCAACCUGGCGACGAGUGGCGAACGGGUGAGUAAUAUAUCGGAACGUGCCCAAUAGUGGGGGAUAGCCCGGCGAAAGCCGGAUUAAUACCGCAUACGACCUGAGGGUGAAAGCGGGGGAUCGCAAGACCUCGCGCUAUUGGAGCGGCCGAUAUCAGAUUAGGUAGUUGGUGGGGUAAAGGCCUACCAAGCCUACGAUCUGUAGCUGGUCUGAGAGGACGACCAGCCACACUGGGACUGAGACACGGCCCAGACUCCUACGGGAGGCAGCAGUGGGGAAUUUUGGACAAUGGGGGGCAACCCUGAUCCAGCCAUUCCGCGUGAGUGAAGAAGGCCUUCGGGUUGUAAAGCUCUUUUGUUCGGGGACGAAACGGUACGUCACCUAAUACGUGAGACUACUGACGGUA
This 456-nucleotide ribosomal RNA is filed under the name uncultured bacterium. Its description in RNAcentral is "bacterial SSU rRNA". It matches the Rfam family "Bacterial small subunit ribosomal RNA", at positions 30 to 477 of the family's 1533-position model. The record is from RNAcentral.